Molecule: ribosomal RNA, 784 nt
Filed under: uncultured bacterium
Lineage: Bacteria
Description: bacterial SSU rRNA
Rfam family: Bacterial small subunit ribosomal RNA
Source: RNAcentral
GAUGAACGCUGGCGGCGUGCUUAACACAUGCAAGUCGAACGAAGCACUUUAUUUGAUUUCCUUCGGGACUGAUUAUUUUGUGACUGAGUGGCGGACGGGUGAGUAACGCGUGGGUAACCUGCCUUGUACAGGGGGAUAACAGUUGGAAACGGCUGCUAAUACCGCAUAAGCGCACGGCAUCGCAUGAUGCAGUGUGAAAAACUCCGGUGGUAUAAGAUGGACCCGCGUUGGAUUAGCUAGUUGGUGAGGUAACGGCCCACCAAGGCGACGAUCCAUAGCCGACCUGAGAGGGUGACCGGCCACAUUGGGACUGAGACACGGCCCAAACUCCUACGGGAGGCAGCAGUGGGGAAUAUUGCACAAUGGGCGAAAGCCUGAUGCAGCGACGCCGCGUGAGCGAAGAAGUAUUUCGGUAUGUAAAGCUCUAUCAGCAGGGAAGAUAAUGACGGUACCUGACUAAGAAGCACCGGCUAAAUACGUGCCAGCAGCCGCGGUAAUACGUAUGGUGCAAGCGUUAUCCGGAUUUACUGGGUGUAAAGGGAGCGCAGGCGGUGCGGCAAGUCUGAUGUGAAAGCCCGGGGCUCAACCCCGGUACUGCAUUGGAAACUGUCGUACUAGAGUGUCGGAGGGGUAAGCGGAAUUCCUAGUGUAGCGGUGAAAUGCGUAGAUAUUAGGAGGAACACCAGUGGCGAAGGCGGCUUACUGGACGAUAACUGACGCUGAGGCUCGAAAGCGUGGGGAGCAAACAAGGUUAGAUACCCUGGUAGUCCACGCCGUAAACGAU